This 2924-nucleotide ribosomal RNA is filed under the name Salmonella enterica subsp. enterica serovar Dessau. RNAcentral's name for it is "23S ribosomal RNA". It matches the Rfam family "Bacterial large subunit ribosomal RNA". The record is from RNAcentral. Lineage: Bacteria; Pseudomonadati; Pseudomonadota; Gammaproteobacteria; Enterobacterales; Enterobacteriaceae.
GGGUUGUGAGGUUAAGCGACUAAGCGUACACGGUGGAUGCCCUGGCAGUCAGAGGCGAUGAAGGACGUGCUAAUCUGCGAUAAGCGCCGGUAAGGUGAUAUGAACCGUUAUAACCGGCGAUUUCCGAAUGGGGAAACCCAGUGUGAUUCGUCACACUAUCAUUAACUGAAUCCAUAGGUUAAUGAGGCGAACCGGGGGAACUGAAACAUCUAAGUACCCCGAGGAAAAGAAAUCAACCGAGAUUCCCCCAGUAGCGGCGAGCGAACGGGGAGGAGCCCAGAGCCUGAAUCAGCAUGUGUGUUAGUGGAAGCGUCUGGAAAGGCGCGCGAUACAGGGUGACAGCCCCGUACACAAAAGCGCAUGUGCUGUGAGCUCGAUGAGUAGGGCGGGACACGUGGUAUCCUGUCUGAAUAUGGGGGGACCAUCCUCCAAGGCUAAAUACUCCUGACUGACCGAUAGUGAACCAGUACCGUGAGGGAAAGGCGAAAAGAACCCCGGCGAGGGGAGUGAAAAAGAACCUGAAACCGUGUACGUACAAGCAGUGGGAGCACCCUUUGGGGUGUGACUGCGUACCUUUUGUAUAAUGGGUCAGCGACUUAUAUUCUGUAGCAAGGUUAACCGUAUAGGGGAGCCGGAGGGAAACCGAGUCUUAAUUGGGCGUUAAGUUGCAGGGUAUAGACCCGAAACCCGGUGAUCUAGCCAUGGGCAGGUUGAAGGUUGGGUAACACUAACUGGAGGACCGAACCGACUAAUGUUGAAAAAUUAGCGGAUGACCUGUGGCUGGGGGUGAAAGGCCAAUCAAACCGGGAGAUAGCUGGUUCUCCCCGAAAGCUAUUUAGGUAGCGCCUCGUGAAUUCAUCUCCGGGGGUAGAGCACUGUUUCGGCUAGGGGGCCAUCCCGGCUUACCAACCCGAUGCAAACUGCGAAUACCGGAGAAUGUUAUCACGGGAGACACACGGCGGGUGCUAACGUCCGUCGUGAAGAGGGAAACAACCCAGACCGCCAGCUAAGGUCCCAAAGUCAUGGUUAAGUGGGAAACGAUGUGGGAAGGCCCAGACAGCCAGGAUGUUGGCUUAGAAGCAGCCAUCAUUUAAAGAAAGCGUAAUAGCUCACUGGUCGAGUCGGCCUGCGCGGAAGAUGUAACGGGGCUAAACCAUGCACCGAAGCUGCGGCAGCGACACUGUGUGUUGUUGGGUAGGGGAGCGUUCUGUAAGCCUGUGAAGGUGGCCUGUGAGGGUUGCUGGAGGUAUCAGAAGUGCGAAUGCUGACAUAAGUAACGAUAAAGCGGGUGAAAAGCCCGCUCGCCGGAAGACCAAGGGUUCCUGUCCAACGUUAAUCGGGGCAGGGUGAGUCGACCCCUAAGGCGAGGCCGAAAGGCGUAGUCGAUGGGAAACGGGUUAAUAUUCCCGUACUUGGUGUUACUGCGAAGGGGGGACGGAGAAGGCUAUGUUGGCCGGGCGACGGUUGUCCCGGUUUAAGCGUGUAGGCUGGUUUUCCAGGCAAAUCCGGAAAAUCAAGGCUGAGGCGUGACGACGAGGCACUACGGUGCUGAAGCAACAAAUGCCCUGCUUCCAGGAAAAGCCUCUAAGCAUCAGGUAACAUCAAAUCGUACCCCAAACCGACACAGGUGGUCAGGUAGAGAAUACCAAGGCGCUUGAGAGAACUCGGGUGAAGGAACUAGGCAAAAUGGUGCCGUAACUUCGGGAGAAGGCACGCUGACACGUAGGUGAAGUGAUUUACUCAUGGAGCUGAAGUCAGUCGAAGAUACCAGCUGGCUGCAACUGUUUAUUAAAAACACAGCACUGUGCAAACACGAAAGUGGACGUAUACGGUGUGACGCCUGCCCGGUGCCGGAAGGUUAAUUGAUGGGGUCAGCGCAAGCGAAGCUCCUGAUCGAAGCCCCGGUAAACGGCGGCCGUAACUAUAACGGUCCUAAGGUAGCGAAAUUCCUUGUCGGGUAAGUUCCGACCUGCACGAAUGGCGUAAUGAUGGCCAGGCUGUCUCCACCCGAGACUCAGUGAAAUUGAACUCGCUGUGAAGAUGCAGUGUACCCGCGGCAAGACGGAAAGACCCCGUGAACCUUUACUAUAGCUUGACACUGAACAUUGAGCCUUGAUGUGUAGGAUAGGUGGGAGGCUUUGAAGUGUGGACGCCAGUCUGCAUGGAGCCGACCUUGAAAUACCACCCUUUAAUGUUUGAUGUUCUAACGUGGACCCGUAAUCCGGGUUGCGGACAGUGUCUGGUGGGUAGUUUGACUGGGGCGGUCUCCUCCUAAAGAGUAACGGAGGAGCACGAAGGUUGGCUAAUCCUGGUCGGACAUCAGGAGGUUAGUGCAAUGGCAUAAGCCAGCUUGACUGCGAGCGUGACGGCGCGAGCAGGUGCGAAAGCAGGUCAUAGUGAUCCGGUGGUUCUGAAUGGAAGGGCCAUCGCUCAACGGAUAAAAGGUACUCCGGGGAUAACAGGCUGAUACCGCCCAAGAGUUCAUAUCGACGGCGGUGUUUGGCACCUCGAUGUCGGCUCAUCACAUCCUGGGGCUGAAGUAGGUCCCAAGGGUAUGGCUGUUCGCCAUUUAAAGUGGUACGCGAGCUGGGUUUAGAACGUCGUGAGACAGUUCGGUCCCUAUCUGCCGUGGGCGCUGGAGAACUGAGGGGGGCUGCUCCUAGUACGAGAGGACCGGAGUGGACGCAUCACUGGUGUUCGGGUUGUCAUGCCAAUGGCACUGCCCGGUAGCUAAAUGCGGAAGAGAUAAGUGCUGAAAGCAUCUAAGCACGAAACUUGCCCCGAGAUGAGUUCUCCCUGAGACUUAGAGUCUCCUGAAGGAACGUUGAAGACGACGACGUUGAUAGGCCGGGUGUGUAAGCGCAGCGAUGCGUUGAGCUAACCGGUACUAAUGAACCGUGAGGCUUAACCUUACAACGCCGAAG